RNAcentral lists this ribosomal RNA (257 nucleotides) under uncultured bacterium. RNAcentral describes it as "partial 16S ribosomal RNA". It matches the Rfam family "Bacterial small subunit ribosomal RNA", at positions 1243 to 1500 of the family's 1533-position model. The record is from RNAcentral.
AGCGAGGCAAAGCCGCGAGGCGGAGCGAAUCGCUAAAAGCCGUCCCAGUUCGGAUUGCAGGCUGCAACCCGCCUGCAUGAAGUUGGAAUCGCUAGUAAUCGCGGAUCAGCAUGCCGCGGUGAAUACGUUCCCGGGCCUUGUACACACCGCCCGUCACACCAUGAGAGUCGGGAACACCCGAAGUCCGUAGCCUGACCGCAAGGGGGGCGCGGCCGAAGGUGGGUUCGAUAAUUGGGGUGAAGUCGUAACAAGGUAAC